AUUGAACGCUGGCGGCAGGCCUAACACAUGCAAGUCGAACGGUAGCACAGAGGAGCUUGCUCCUUGGGUGACGAGUGGCGGACGGGUGAGUAAUGUCUGGGAAACUGCCCGAUGGAGGGGAUAACAGUUGGAAACGACUGCUAAUACCGCAUGACACAUCGGAGUCGCAUGGCUCUGAUGUCAAAGAUUUAUCGCUGAAAGAUGGCCUCGCGUCUGAUUAGCUAGUUGGUGAGGUAACGGCCCACCAAGGCGACGAUCAGUAGCCGGACUGAGAGGUUGAACGGCCACACUGGAACUGAGACACGGUCCAGACUCCUACGGGAGGCAGCAGUGGGAAUCUUCCGCAAUGGGCGAAAGCCUGACGGAGCAACGCCGCGUGAGUGAUGACGGCC
This 392-nucleotide ribosomal RNA is filed under the name uncultured bacterium. Its description in RNAcentral is "bacterial SSU rRNA". It matches the Rfam family "Bacterial small subunit ribosomal RNA", at positions 30 to 416 of the family's 1533-position model. The record is from RNAcentral.